AGAGAUUGUGACUGGAAAUUGGGGGAGGUCGGACUGGAAGUGGGGGGGGCAGACUGUAAGUGGGGGUGAAGACCAGAAGUUGGUGGGGUUAGACCGGAAGUUGGUGGUUCUGAGAGGAAAUUGGAAGGGGUCGGGGUGGAAGUGGGAGGUUCCGACUGGAAAUGGAAAAUUUGGAGCCAAAGUUGGACCGGAACUUGAGAGUUCUGAUUGGAAAUUGGGGGGGUCAGACUGGAAGUGGGGGGGUUCUGACUGGAAAUUGGGGGGCGUUGGACAGGAAGUAGAGGGCUCAGACCGGAACUUGUGGUUUCUGCCUGGAAACCGAGGGUUCAAACUGAAAGUGGGGGGGUUGGACCGGAAGUGGGAGGGUUGGACCGGAAGUGGGGCGCCUGGAUUGGAAUCUGGCAGUUCCGGCUGGAAGUUGGAGGUUCAGGCUGGAAAUCAGGGGGUUCUGACCGGAAAUCGGGGGAUUCUGACUGGGAACUGGGAGCUUCUGACCGGAAGUGGGGGGUUCUGACUGGAAGUGGGGGGGCCCUGAUUGGAAACUGGGGGUUCAGACUGGAAACUGGGGGCGGGGGGGGGCUGGACCGGACGUGAAGGAGUGUUCCGACCGGAAGUUGGUGUUCUGAACCGGAAGUGAGGGCUGGACCGGAAGUUUGGGUUCUGAACAGGAAGUGAGGGCUGGACCGGAAGUGAAUGCGUAUUCUGACCGGAAGUGGGGUCUGAACCGGAAGUUGGUCCCCGCUGACCGGAAGGAGCCUCCAUCACCGCACAGCGCCAUGGAGAGCGGAGAGCAGAGGGCUCCACAGGUGGAGGCGCUGCUGGGACAGAUCCAUGCUCUGCACCGGGGCUGCCAGGCUGGGGCGCAGGAGCUGGCACGGACACAGGAGAGGAGCGAGGAGAUGAGACAGCACCUGGAACAGCUGGAGGAGCGGCAGGCGGAGCUGCAGGCGCUGUGGCAGCAGCAGCAGGAGGUGCUGCGCGUGGCACGGUCACGCUGGCAGGAGGUGGAGGCUGAAGGACAAAGGCGCCGCCAGCUGUGCCUGGGGCAGCAGCGCCACCUGGAGGGGGCGGGGGAGAGCAGGGCAAAAAUCAGGGAGCUGCGGCGGGGACACAGGGAGGACUUCGUGCAGCAGCUGGAGACGCUGAUGGACGAGCACAAGCGGCUGCAGCGCCAGCACGUGAGAGCCCGCCCCACAUCUCACCCCACAGCGCCCCACAUUGCCCCGCAGCGCCUCAUGUGUCACCCCACAGCGUCCAACUUCACCCCACAUGUCACCCCAUGUUACCCCACAGCGCCCCACAGCGCCCCUCAUUGCCCCGCUGCACCCCACGUCACCCCACUGCGCCCGACGUGUCACCCCACGUCACCCCACAGUGCCCCACUGCGCCCCACAUCUCACCCCACUGCGCCCCACUACACCCCACAUCUCACCCCACUGUGCCCCACUGCGCCCCAUGUCACCCCACAGCGCCCCACAGUGCCCCACGUGUCACCUCAUGUCACCCCACAUUGCUCCACAGCGCCCCACAUUUCCCCACGUGUCACCCCACACCAACCCACAUUGCCCCACAGCGCCCCACGUGUCACUCCUUGUCACCCCUUGUCACCCCCCGUGUCCCCACAGUCCCCGGUGGCGCUGGUGGCCGCGCUGUCCCAGCUGCAGCUGACACGGGAUGAGCUGCUGAACCAGGGUGAGCACACAUGGCCCCAAAUGUCCCCAGACAGCCAUGCAAUGUCCCCAAAUGUCCCCAAAUAUUCAUAUAAUGUCUCCAAAUGUUCCCAGAUAUCCAUGCAAUGUCCCCAAAUGUCCCCAAAUGUCCCCAGAUAUCCAUGCAAUAUCCCCCCAAUGUCCCCAAAUA
This is a long non-coding RNA of Numida meleagris (helmeted guineafowl), 1860 nucleotides long. The record is from Ensembl. Lineage: Eukaryota; Metazoa; Chordata; Aves; Galliformes; Numididae.